This is a non-coding RNA of Danio rerio (zebrafish), 740 nucleotides long. Lineage: Eukaryota; Metazoa; Chordata; Actinopteri; Cypriniformes; Danionidae. The record is from RefSeq and is a predicted model, not a curated record.
AGGAAUUCUGCUGCUGGUGAAAAUAACUGUGCUAUGUUUGGCCAGCCCUGGACUCCGAGUCCUGAACGCACAUUGUAUUUGGCUUUGUUCCUCGCUGUUUUCCUGCACAAGAACACAACAACAUCAUCAAUUUCCCUUCACUUUCACUGACUGAAAAGCUGAAUUCACGAUGAAGAACACACAGCGCUCACUCUGGAGUUCUGUAAAUCUACAAAUGCUGAAUUUAACAAAGUUUACAGGAGCUUGUUAUUGUUUUAAUAACGCAGAUUUUUCUUGCAGAUUUUGGCCACGUUGUAAAACAAAUCCACAAACUAACAGUUUUCAGCAUUUUGUGCUUUUUUUACUCCAUCUGUCCUCAAAUCUGUAGUCAAAUAGUUUGAAGUAGUGUGGUCACGAUACUGGGAUUUCAGACUUUGAUACGAUACCUUGACAAACAUCAAUACCCUACUAUAUGAUUUUCGAUACUACAAGUUAAAAAUAUCGAUAUUUGGUACAAGUUUCGAUACCAAGAAACGCGGAAGUAGUAUGUCCCAAAGCUUGCAUACUUUUAGGGUGUAGUAUAAGUAUGCGAAUUGGGACGCAACAACUGACUGAGCACUGAGCGAACAAAAACCAGCCUCAGACAGUAUUUUACCAGUCUGAAUUUGAGGACUGAAUUUGAUUGCUGGUUGACAAGCGGAAUAAAAUGGCAGGGAGAAAUACCCAAACCACAACAACAUGAUAAAACAUGACUUAAAAAC